This 393-nucleotide ribosomal RNA is filed under the name uncultured bacterium. Its description in RNAcentral is "bacterial SSU rRNA". It matches the Rfam family "Bacterial small subunit ribosomal RNA", at positions 64 to 440 of the family's 1533-position model. The record is from RNAcentral.
GAGCGAGGUUACUGCGACAGAUCCCUUCGGGGUGAAGUUGCUUUAGCCUAGCGGCGGACGGGUGAGUAACGCGUGGGUAACCUACCCUAAAGUUCGGGAUAACAGCGGGAAACCGCUGCUAAUACCGGAUGCCUUUACCGUGUGGCAUCACAAGGUAAAGAAAGGUAACGCUUUAGGAUGGGCCCGCGUCCCAUUAGCUAGUUGGUGAGGUAACAGCUCACCAAGGCGACGAUGGGUAGCCGGCCUGAGAGGGUGGACGGCCACACUGGGACUGAGACACGGCCCAGACUCCUACGGGAGGCAGCAGUAGGGAAUAUUGCGCAAUGGACGGAAGUCUGACGCAGCGACGCCGCGUGAGCGAUGAAGGCCUUCGGGUCGUAAAGCUCUGUCCUU